CCAUGAUGAGCAAUUUAGAUGACGAGUCCGAAUCGGGAAACCGCUGUGGAUAACUAAAAAUUUAUACCAUUCAUGCUUACUGAAG
RNAcentral lists this small nucleolar RNA (85 nucleotides) under Erysiphe necator (grape powdery mildew). Lineage: Eukaryota; Fungi; Ascomycota; Leotiomycetes; Helotiales; Erysiphaceae. The record is from RNAcentral.